CUGUUAGUCAUAUGGGGAUAUUGUUAAAACUCAGACUCUUGAUUCAGGAGUGAGACCUGAGAUUUUGUAUUACUAACAAGUUCCCAGGUGCUGCUGCU
Molecule: microRNA precursor, 98 nt
Filed under: Marmota monax (woodchuck)
Lineage: Eukaryota; Metazoa; Chordata; Mammalia; Rodentia; Sciuridae
Source: RNAcentral